UUCUCCAUGUUGUUCUCAAUGUUGAUCUCAAUGUUGUUCUACAUGUUGGUCUUCAUGUUGUUCUCCAUGUAGUUCUCCAUGUUGGUCUCCAUGUUGAUCUCCAUGUUGUUCUCCAUGUUGUUCUCCAUGUAGGUCUCCAUGUUGGUCUCCAUGUUGUUCUCCAUGUUGGUCUCCGUUUUGGUCUCCGUGUUGGUCUCCAUGUAGGUCUCCAUGUUGUUCUCCAUGUUGGUCUCCAUGUUGGUCUCCGUGUAGUUCUCCGUGUUGGUCUCCGUGUUGUUCUCCGUGUUGGUCUCCGUGUUGUUCUCCAUGUUGGUCUCCGUGUUGUUCUCCGUGUUGGUCUCCGUGUUGUUCUCCAUGUUGGUCUCCGUGUUGGUCUCCGUGUUGGUCUCC
Amphiprion ocellaris (clown anemonefish) is the source of this 390-nucleotide long non-coding RNA. The record is from Ensembl. NCBI's taxonomy places the organism in Eukaryota, Metazoa, Chordata, Actinopteri, Pomacentridae.